GAUGAACGCUGGCGGCGUGCCUAAUACAUGCAAGUCGAGCGAACAGACGAGGAGCUUGCUCCUCUGACGUUAGCGGCGGACGGGUGAGUAACACGUGGAUAACCUACCUAUAAGACUGGGAUAACUUCGGGAAACCGGAGCUAAUACCGGAUAAUAUAUUGAACCGCAUGGUUCAAUAGUGAAAGACGGUUUUGCUGUCACUUAUAGAUGGAUCCGCGCCGCAUUAGCUAGUUGGUAAGGUAACGGCUUACCAAGGCAACGAUGCGUAGCCGACCUGAGAGGGUGAUCGGCCACACUGGAACUGAGACACGGUCCAGACUCCUACGGGAGGCAGCAGUAGGGAAUCUUCCGCAAUGGGCGAAAGCCUGACGGAGCAACGCCGCGUGAGUGAUGAAAGUCUUCGGAUCGUAAAACUCUGUUAUUAGGGAAGAACAAAUGUGUAAGUAACUAUGCACGUCUUGACGGUACCUAAUCAGAAAGCCACGGCUAACUACG
Molecule: ribosomal RNA, 495 nt
Filed under: uncultured bacterium
Lineage: Bacteria
Description: partial 16S ribosomal RNA
Rfam family: Bacterial small subunit ribosomal RNA
Source: RNAcentral